UUCCUACGGGUGGCAGCAGUGGGGAAUAUUGCACAAUGGGCGAAAGCCUGAUGCAGCAACGCCGCGUGAGCGAUGAAGGCCUUUGGGUCGUAAAGCUCUGUCCUUGGGGAAGAAACAAAUGACGGUACCCUUGGAGGAAGCCCCGGCUAACUACGUGCCAGCAGCCGCGGUAAUACGUAGGGGGCGAGCGUUAUCCGGAAUUAUUGGGCGUAAAGAGUGCGUAGGUGGCCAUGUAAGCGCGGGGUGAAAGGCAAUAGCUUAACUAUUGUAAGCCUUGCGAACUGUGUGGCUUGAGUGCAGGAGAGGAAAGUGGAAUUCCUAGUGUAGCGGUGAAAUGCGUAGAUAUUAGGAGGAACACCAGUGGCGAAGGCGACUUUCUGGACUGUAACUGACACUGAGGCACGAAAGCGUGGGGAGCAAACAGGAUUAGAUACCCCGGUAGUC
Molecule: ribosomal RNA, 444 nt
Filed under: uncultured Clostridiaceae bacterium
Lineage: Bacteria; Bacillati; Bacillota; Clostridia; Eubacteriales; Clostridiaceae
Description: bacterial SSU rRNA
Rfam family: Bacterial small subunit ribosomal RNA
Source: RNAcentral